This 87-nucleotide transfer RNA is filed under the name Candidatus Portnoybacteria bacterium CG10_big_fil_rev_8_21_14_0_10_36_7. RNAcentral's name for it is "tRNA-Leu". It matches the Rfam family "tRNA". From Rfam's summary of the family: Transfer RNA (tRNA) molecules are approximately 80 nucleotides in length. Their secondary structure includes four short double-helical elements and three loops (D, anti-codon, and T loops). The record is from RNAcentral. Lineage: Bacteria; Candidatus Portnoyibacteriota.
GCUGGAGUGGCGGAAUUGGCAUACGCGUGCGACUCAAAAUCGCAUGGACUUCGGUUCGUGAGGGUUCAACUCCCUCCUCCAGCACCA